AUUGAACGCUGGCGGCAGGCCUAACACAUGCAAGUCGAACGAGUGGCGGACGGGUUAGUAAUGUCUGGGAAACUGCCCGAUGGAGGGGGAUAACUACUGGAAACGGUAGCUAAUACCGCAUACCAUCGGAUGUGCCCAGAUGGGAUUAGCUAGUAGGUGGGGUAACGGCUCACCUCGACGACGAUCGCUAGCUGGUCUGAGAGGACGACCAGCAACACUGGAACUGGGACACGGUCCGGACUCCUACGGGAGGCAGCAGUGGGGAAAAUUGGACAAUGGGCGCAAGCCUGAUGAAGCCAUGCCGCGUGUAUGAAGAAGGCCUUCGGGUUGUAAAGUACUUUCAGCGAGGAGGCGUUACUCGCAGAGGAAGCACCGGCUAACUCCGUGCCAGCAGCCGCGGUAAUAC
Molecule: ribosomal RNA, 406 nt
Filed under: uncultured bacterium
Lineage: Bacteria
Description: partial 16S ribosomal RNA
Rfam family: Bacterial small subunit ribosomal RNA
Source: RNAcentral